GGGGGCGUAGCUCAGCUGGGAGAGCGUCGCGUUCGCAAUGCGAAGGUCAGGGGUUCGAUCCCCCUCGCCUCCACCA
RNAcentral lists this transfer RNA (76 nucleotides) under Gammaproteobacteria bacterium. RNAcentral describes it as "tRNA-Ala". It matches the Rfam family "tRNA". From Rfam's summary of the family: Transfer RNA (tRNA) molecules are approximately 80 nucleotides in length. Their secondary structure includes four short double-helical elements and three loops (D, anti-codon, and T loops). Lineage: Bacteria; Pseudomonadati; Pseudomonadota; Gammaproteobacteria. The record is from RNAcentral.